UACAGAGGUCUCAAGCGUUGUUCGGAUUCAUUGGGCGUAAAGGGCGCGUAGGCGGCGGGGUAAGUCGGGUGUGAAAUCUCAGAGCUCAACUCUGAAACUGCACUCGAUACUGCUCUGCUUGAGGACUGGAGAGGAGACUGGAAUUCACGGUGUAGCAGUGAAAUGCGUAGAUAUCGUAAGGAAGACCAGUGGCGAAGGCGGGUCUCUGGACAGUUCCUGACACUGAGACACGAAGGCCAGGGGAGCAAACGGG
This 253-nucleotide ribosomal RNA is filed under the name uncultured bacterium. Its description in RNAcentral is "partial 16S ribosomal RNA". It matches the Rfam family "Bacterial small subunit ribosomal RNA", at positions 524 to 776 of the family's 1533-position model. The record is from RNAcentral.